AAGAAAAAAAAAAAGAUCAAUGGAAGAAUGAACCCGUUGAAAGCGCCGCUGCCGAAGUUUGCUGUCGGCGGUUUGCGAACGGCGAAGAGUGCACUGCCGAGGGUAUGCGAUGGCGAAGAGUGCGUUGCCGCUGCGGGGAUGUGCCCCUGUACGACGUGUACGUGUGGUUGUGUGCGAGAGAGAAAAAGAGAGAGAGGCGGAGAGAGAGGCGGAGAGAGAGGCGGCCGUCCCUGUGUGAAGUGUGAAAAAAGUGAAAAAAUAGGAGAAAUAGGGUUAGGAAUAGAAAGGGUUAAAAGUUGAUGCGAUUUUAUCCAUUGGAUUUUGAUCCAAUGGUUG
This 336-nucleotide long non-coding RNA is filed under the name Ananas comosus (pineapple). RNAcentral describes it as "long non-coding RNA (ACOM_LNC014917)". Lineage: Eukaryota; Viridiplantae; Streptophyta; Magnoliopsida; Poales; Bromeliaceae. The record is from RNAcentral.